Long non-coding RNA from Oncorhynchus tshawytscha (Chinook salmon), 333 nucleotides. The record is from Ensembl. Lineage: Eukaryota; Metazoa; Chordata; Actinopteri; Salmoniformes; Salmonidae.
UUACAUUUUUCUGCGUCAGUAGGCCUACUCCGUCUGAAGUGUAAAGGUAGGCCUACUCUGUCUGGGGUGGAAAGGUAGGCCUACUCUGUCUGGGGUGGAAAGAUAGGUCCUACUCUGUCUGGGGUGUAAAGGUAGGCCUACUUUGUCUGGGGUGGAAAGGUAGGUCCUACUCUGUCUGGGGUGGAAAGGUAGGCCUACUCUGUCUGGGGUGGAAAGGUAGGUCCUACUCUGUCUGGGGUGGAAAGGUAGGCCUACUCUGUCUGGGGUGGAAAGGUAGGGCCUACUCUGUCUGGGGUGGAAAGGUAGGCCUACUCGGUCUGGGGUGGAAAGGUA